Molecule: ribosomal RNA, 497 nt
Filed under: uncultured bacterium
Lineage: Bacteria
Description: partial 16S ribosomal RNA
Rfam family: Bacterial small subunit ribosomal RNA
Source: RNAcentral
GAUGAACGCUGGCGGCGUGCCUAAUACACGCAAGUCGAGCGAACAGACGAGGAGCUUGCUCCUCUGACGUUAGCGGCGGACGGGUGAGUAACACGUGGAUAACCUACCUAUAAGACUGGGAUAACUUCGGGAAACCGGAGCUAAUACCGGAUAAUAUAUUGAACCGCAUGGUUCAAUAGUGAAAGACGGUUUUGCUGUCACUUAUAGAUGGAUCCGCGCCGCAUUAGCUAGUUGGUAAGGUAACGGCUUACCAAGGCGACGAUGCGUAGCCGACCUGAGAGGGUGAUCGGCCACACUGGAACUGAGACACGGUCCAGACUCCUACGGGAGGCAGCAGUAGGGAAUCUUCCGCAGUGGGCGAAAGCCUGACGGAGCAACGCCGCGUGAGUGAUGAAGGUCUUCGGAUCGUAAAACUCUGUUAUUAGGGAAGAACAAAUGUGUAAGUAACUAUGCACGUCUUGACGGUACCUAAUCAGAAAGCCACGGCUAACUACGUG